AGAGUUUGAUCCUGGCUCAGGACGAACGCUGGCGGCGUGCUUAACACAUGCAAGUCGAACGAGGUUAGAGACUUCGGUUUUUGACCGAGUGGCGGACGGGUGAGUAACGCGUGAGCAAUCUGUCCCAGACAGGGGGAUAACAACUGGAAACAGUUGCUAAUACCGCAUAAGACCACGAAGUCGCAUGGCUUUGAGGUAAAAGGAGUAAUCCGGUCUGGGGUGAGUUCGCGUCUGAUUAGAUAGUUGGCGAGGUAACGGCUCACCAAGUCGACGAUCAGUAGCCGACCUGAGAGGGUGACCGGCCACAUUGGGACUGAGACACGGCCCAGACUCCUACGGGAGGCAGCAGUGGGGAAUAUUGGGCAAUGGGGAAACCCUGACCCAGCAACGCCGCGUGAGGGAAGAAGGUUUUCGGAUUGUAAACCUCUGUCCUUGGGGACGAACAAAUGACGGUACCCGAGGAGGAAGCCCCGGCUAACUACGUGCC
This 487-nucleotide ribosomal RNA is filed under the name uncultured bacterium. Its description in RNAcentral is "bacterial SSU rRNA". It matches the Rfam family "Bacterial small subunit ribosomal RNA", at positions 8 to 509 of the family's 1533-position model. The record is from RNAcentral.